UUCGGACCGCAGCCGCAAAGGCAAACGCUCGGUCUAUAUAUACUAUGUCUAUGGCUUAUUCUCUUGUCUCGAUCGAACAAAAUAAUUUGGUUAUCUUGUGAUUUAUUGUCUAUUCAAUAAUGGCUUUGCAUAAUUUUGGUGGUAUUACAUUUAUGUUGCUGUUUAUACAUCUAAAUGUAAUGAUCGCUACAGAUUAUGAUAAAGGUAGAAGAGAUCCAUAUGGUCCAUACCCUAGGAUACCUGAUAAGGAGUUGGUCAAGAAAGAGAUAGCUUUUGCGGAAAAAUGCAAGAAAUUUAUGAAAUCGCCUAAACAAACCUUUAUUAUUCAUUAAUGUAAUUGUUGUGCAAUGAAUGUAUAAUGGAUAUACAUAUACAAUGUACAUCUUUCCAGCAAGGAAAAAAUGUAGUAAUAAAUGAAUGUUAUAGUAAUUUAUA
This is a long non-coding RNA of Formica exsecta, 435 nucleotides long. RefSeq lists it as uncharacterized. NCBI's taxonomy places the organism in Eukaryota, Metazoa, Arthropoda, Insecta, Hymenoptera, Formicidae. The transcript has 2 exons. The record is from RefSeq and is a predicted model, not a curated record.